UUGAUCAAGACAGGCUAUCGUUCACCGAGCGUUUGUCCACGUCAGAUCACGGCCACAAAUGCCACAGUCCAAGUCUCUCCGCCCCGCAACCAUCACUUCGAUGGCUAAAGUGCGAAACCACAUAUCUCCAUUGCGGAGUUUCAAAGUGUCCUCUCCUAUUUUAGUUUUUCGAAGAGUGACAAGCCAACUUAAUUUCUUGAAAGUUAAGUAGGGAAUUUUGCUUACAGAGAGAAUCAAGGGAAUUUUCAAGAAAUUAUGUUGACUUAGUUGUCAAAGAAGAAAAAAGUAUGACAGGAGGUCGUCACCUUCCGGUCAAUAUAUCACAAGUGCCAUGCGACGUUUAAAAAUUUUCGCCGCCAUUUUAUAUUUUCACAGAGAAAUUGUUCAACAAAACUGUCCGAAAAUUUUACCGAAAUUCUUUUGUGCUGCCGAUAAAAUUUAGUAAAAUUUUCGAACAGAUUCAACCAACAAUUCCUCUGCGAAAAAAUAAAUUGGCGGUGGAAAUUUUGAAACGUCGCAUGGCGCUUGUACGCUGUACAUUAUAAACGGAGAUACGUUGUUCCGCACUUUGGCCGUCGAAUUGAUUGAGCUAGAGUCUGGUCACACCUGAUUAAGUACUAAUAAACCAUCGGUUAGUAUGGGUUCAUGAAGUAACCUUGAUGCUCUGCUAGUCCCUUAGUCGGCUUCGAAAAGGUGCCUGCACUCUUUCCAUUUCCUUGCACUUGAUAUUAUGUAAAUCUUGUAGUCCAGAAGUAGGAGCGUUCUUUUUCUCCCCAGCCGAAGCCCCGGUUUUGACCUUGCGUCGCUGGACGCUACGCAUGCCCGCGCUGGUGAGUAUGCAAAUGGUUUUGACUAAUCGUGCGAUGAGUCUGCAGCCGCUGAAGUUCAGUGUAACUCCGUGGUAAUGCUCUCUAAAGCUCCAAAGCCCCUUCUCAGGAUUUUCUUCAAUUUUUCUCGACAAAAAAGCAUAACAUUUUUAUCCGCGCGCAUAUCACUGCUCAUAAUUGGCAUAAACAAAUUCAGAACGCCUCAAUUUUUGAGUGUAUGCAACACGUACUGCCCCUAACCACGAAUAGUUGCAUCCAAGGGUUAACGUCAACUCGUCUAGGCGACUGGGUGCAUUUCGUCUACUUUUAUCCCCGGGUAAGUGCAGAAUUGGUGUAUUUAUACUAAAAAAAACUGAGACGCAUAAAAUAAAAAAGAACUGCGAGAGACAACGACAACGAGGGAUAAACAGUUCACCCGGUACCAGCCCCUAGUCUAACAAGUUUUCUAACUAAUAUGAAGAUUAAAGAAGGCACAAUAUCUUGCAUGUGGUUUUUUGAUAAAAAUUUCGCAAUUUUCAUGUGCUGCUAUCUCUCUCAAUUGCGGAUAGCUAAAUUGUUUAAUGUCUCGAAAAUAAAUUUGACCAGAGUUGCAGAGCCAGGCCUAGGAUAAAUCGCAUCACUCUUAACAAAAUAUCGUUUAACAUUGGGACCAACAAGCACUAAAGCCUGAUUGUUCCUAAACUUACCAUUUUAUCUCCACGUAUUAUCACCACUUUGAUAUGUUUUAAAAGUAAUUUUUUGUU
RNAcentral lists this long non-coding RNA (1570 nucleotides) under Bemisia tabaci. Its description in RNAcentral is "lncRNA ENSSSA1UGG007358". The record is from RNAcentral. Lineage: Eukaryota; Metazoa; Arthropoda; Insecta; Hemiptera; Aleyrodidae.